RNAcentral lists this ribosomal RNA (384 nucleotides) under uncultured Streptococcus sp. RNAcentral's name for it is "bacterial SSU rRNA". It matches the Rfam family "Bacterial small subunit ribosomal RNA", at positions 996 to 1382 of the family's 1533-position model. Lineage: Bacteria; Bacillati; Bacillota; Bacilli; Lactobacillales; Streptococcaceae. The record is from RNAcentral.
AUUUCUAGAGAUAGAAGUUACUUCGGUACAUCGGUGACAGGUGGUGCAUGGUUGUCGUCAGCUCGUGUCGUGAGAUGUUGGGUUAAGUCCCGCAACGAGCGCAACCCCUAUUGUUAGUUGCCAUCAUUCAGCUGGGCACUCUAGCGAGACUGCCGGUAAUAAACCGGAGGAAGGUGGGGAUGACGUCAAAUCAUCAUGCCCCUUAUGACCUGGGCUACACACGUGCUACAAUGGUUGGUACAACGAGUUGCGAGUCGGUGACGGCGAGCUAAUCUCUUAAAGCCAAUCUCAGUUCGGAUUGUAGGCUGCAACUCGCCUACAUGAAGUCGGAAUCGCUAGUAAUCGCGGAUCAGCACGCCGCGGUCGAAUACGUUCCCGGGCCUU